Molecule: ribosomal RNA, 497 nt
Filed under: uncultured Glomeromycotina
Lineage: Eukaryota; Fungi; Glomeromycota
Description: partial small subunit ribosomal RNA
Rfam family: Eukaryotic small subunit ribosomal RNA
Source: RNAcentral
CCAAUAGCGUAUAUUAAAGUUGUUGCAGUUAAAAAGCUCGUAGUUGAAUUUUAGGCCUGACCGGGCGGUCCGUCUUUGGCGAGUACUGUCUGUCGUCGGGUCUUCCUUCUGGUGAACCAAUAUGUCCUUUAUUGGGUGUGUUGGGGAGCCAGGACCAUUACCUUGAAAAAAUUAGAGUGUUUAAAGCAGGCUUUUGCUUGAAUAGAUUAGCAUGGAAUAAUAGAAUAGGACGUUGUGGUUCUAUUUUGUUGGUUUCUAGGACCACCGUAAUGAUUAAUAGGGAUAGUUGGGGGCAUUAGUAUUCAAUUGUCAGAGGUGAAAUUCUUGGAUUUAUUGAAGACUAACUAUUGCGAAAGCAUUUGCCAAGGAUGUUUUCAUUAAUCAAGAACGAAAGUUAGGGGAUCGAAGACGAUCAGAUACCGUCGUAGUCUUAACCAUAAACUAUGCCGACUAGGAAUCGGGCGACGUUAUUUUAAUGACUCGCUCGGCGCCUUAUG